Molecule: transfer-messenger RNA, 367 nt
Filed under: Myxococcaceae
Lineage: Bacteria; Pseudomonadati; Myxococcota; Myxococcia; Myxococcales
Also listed under: 1 other name
Description: JAEUJQ01 sp016793095 Standard tmRNA
Rfam family: transfer-messenger RNA
About the family: Bacterial tmRNA, also known as 10Sa RNA or SsrA, is named for its dual tRNA and mRNA-like properties. Its role is to liberate the mRNA from a stalled ribosome.
Source: RNAcentral
GGGGGCGACCUGGCUUCGACGGGGGCAUGGAGGCCCUGAGACGCGUGCCGAGUGGGCUCAUCACACUCGUAAAUCCAAAUGGGCAAACCCAAAAAAGCCAACGACAACGUUGAGCUUGCGCUGGCCGCCUGAAAAACGGUUCACGCACGGUCGCCUGAGCUUCGGCUCGUGAGCUGAGGGUCGACCGAACCAAUGCGAGCUGGCCUCUCACCAGGACUGGAUGAGGAGGGGCGAGAGCUUCCCAGUCAGGCCAUCGCGGAGUCCGUCCGUGGACGACGAGGUGGCGUCAUCGAUUCGCGGACUACGCACGUAGUGGCUUAGAGCUGAAGGCUUUCGGACGUGGGUUCGAUUCCCACCGCCUCCACAA